CCUACGGGUGGCAGCAGUGAGGAAUAUUGGUCAAUGGACGAGAGUCUGAACCAGCCAAGUAGCGUGAAGGAUGACUGCCCUAUGGGUUGUAAACUUCUUUUGUCAAGGGACAAAAUCAGGCUCGAGAGCCUGACCGAGGGUACUUGAAGAAAAAGCAUCGGCUAACUCCGUGCCAGCAGCCGCGGUAAUACGGAGGAUGCGAGCGUUAUCCGGAUUUAUUGGGUUUAAAGGGUGCGUAGGCGGACUGUUAAGUCAGCGGUAAAAGCCCGGGGCUCAACCCCGGCGAGCCGUUGAAACUGGCUGUCUUGAGAUGUCGAGAGGUAUGCGGAAUGCGCAGUGUAGCGGUGAAAUGCUUAGAUAUUGCGCAGAACUCCGAUUGCGAAGGCAGCAUACCGGCGGCGAUCUGACGCUGAGGCACGAAAGCGUGGGUAUCGAACAGGAUUAGAUACCCCUGUAGUC
Molecule: ribosomal RNA, 459 nt
Filed under: uncultured bacterium
Lineage: Bacteria
Description: partial 16S ribosomal RNA
Rfam family: Bacterial small subunit ribosomal RNA
Source: RNAcentral